This 79-nucleotide transfer RNA is filed under the name Cronartium ribicola 11-2. Its description in RNAcentral is "tRNA-Ser (AGA) (tRNA-Ser-AGA-104-1)". It matches the Rfam family "tRNA". From Rfam's summary of the family: Transfer RNA (tRNA) molecules are approximately 80 nucleotides in length. Their secondary structure includes four short double-helical elements and three loops (D, anti-codon, and T loops). The record is from RNAcentral. Lineage: Eukaryota; Fungi; Basidiomycota; Pucciniomycetes; Pucciniales; Coleosporiaceae.
GCACACUUAGCUCAGUGGUUAGAGCACCCUUCUAGAGUUCAGGGAAAACAAGUCAUGGGUUUGAGUCCCAUAGUGCACA